UGCUGCCAACCAAUCUAUUGCUGCUAAGCUAUCCCUCGCUGCUAAGCUAUCCCUCGCUGCUAAGCUAUCGCCGCUGCCAAUCUAUCUACUGCUGCAAGCUAUCCCUCGCUGCUAAGCUAUCCCUCGCUGCUAAGCUAUCGCCGCUGCCAACCUAUCUAUUGCUGCAAGCUAUCCCUCGCUGCUAAGCUAUCGCUGCCAACCUAUCUAUCGCUGCCAACCUAUCUAUCGCUGCCAAUUUAUCUACCACUGCCAAUCUAUCUAUUGCUGCUAAUCUAUCGCUGCUGUCAAUCUAUCUAUCGCUGCUAAUCUAUCUAUCGCUGCUAAUCUAUCGCCGCUGCCAAUCUAUCCCUCACUGCUAAGCUAUCCCUCACUGCUAAUCUAUCUAUCGCUGCUAAUCUAUCGCCGCUGCCAAUCUAUCCCUCACUGCUAAGCUAUCCCUCGCUGCUAAGCUAUCACUGCCAAUCUAUCGCUGCUAAUCUAUCGCUGCCAACCUAUCUACCGCGGCGAAUCUAUCUAUCGCUGCCAAUUUAUCUACCACUGCCAAUCUAUCUAUCGCUGCUAAUCUAUUGCUGCUGCUAAUCUAUCUAUCGCUGCUAAUCUAUCGCUGCUAAUCUAUCGCUGCUAAUCUAUCGCUGCUAAUCUAUCGCUGCCAACCUAUCUACCGCGGCGAAUCUAUCUAUCACUAUCAUUACUAGUUCAAAAUAGAACUAGAGCAUAAACACACUAAACUUCUUUUGAUAGGUAAUGAUUUUUGGUAACGCUCAUAGCAUUAUAUCAUCUAUAUAGGGUAAAUCAUGGUCCCAUUUGGUCCCAUUUUAACAAAAUGGGACCAAAUGGGACCAGAAUCAGUAAUUUAUAAGAAGAACAUGACCUGGGACUAGAUUUAUAAUAUAAACAGUGUAAAGUGACUAAUUUAAUAAACACUAUAUGGGACCAGAACUAAGAAAUUUGAUAAUGGAACUGGAGAAAUAUUUAGUCCCAGUCCCAUGCAUGGUCACACAGCCAGUCUAUCUACAAUAAAGCACACAAUGUUAGUUAAAACAUGUAAUGUUAGUUAAAAACAUGUAAGAUGAUUUUGAUAUGUGUAAGAUUUUUUGAAAAUCAAUCUGAAUCUUCUACUGCCUCUGAUGAUCACAAUGUGUGUUUGCAACAGUUGAAUGAUCAAAUUUGUGAAUGAGAGCAGCAAUUAGCUAUUCUGCAUGCACAACAGCAGCUCAAUAAGUUGAAAGUGCAGAUUUGUGAAGAUACUCUCAUCAAAUCUCAAUUAACUCAGAAUAUCAUCACAGAAUCACUGUAAAAUCAAUCUGCAAAUAAUAUAGACAAUGAUAAUGAAACAUCACUGAAAUUGAAGAUUAAGAACUAUUAUUGAGAAAAAAAUAUGUUAGAAUUUAAGAAUUAUAAAGAUUGCAUAUUGACUCUCUUUACACACUACUGCUGAUAUUAUUGAAAGAAAGAACACAAAAUAAAUGAUGCUAAACUCUAUCUUGACACUCACAUUAAGCAGAAAUGAUUGAAUUUUGUAUCAUUGUAUAAGAGACAUGGAGAAGUGACACUGUUGAUUUUUGAUGAUAUACUAUCAUAUCUAGAAAUGCAAAUUAACAAUCCACAGAAUCAGUACUGAUUGACAAGUCAAAAAUUUCAAGAUACAAAACAACAAGAAUGACAAUCAAUAUACAAUUUCUCUAAAUAUUUCAAAGACUGAGAAUACUACUUACCUUCAUAUAGUGAAGAACAAAGAAUGGAUAAUUUGUGUAGUAAGAUAUUGAAAAUACUACACACUGAACUUAAUCAUUGAAAUCAAGAGUUUCAGAACUACAAAGAGUUGUUUUGAACUCUACAGACUCUUGAGAAAAAUAUAUCAGAGCAACAGCAUACUAUUCACAAAGAAAAAUCUACAAUAUUUGUAGAGAAUCAGCAUCAUUCUGAUAAAUCUAGCAAUCAUUGAAAUAAGAGAAAACAAGAGGAACAAAUGAGUUCAACUGAACAAAUCAAGAAAAAUAAAUAUAACUGAAUGAAGAAGUGUUCUCACUGUUAUAAAAAGAGUCAUAUUGCAAAUGAUUGUUGAAUAUUACAUCUCAAAAAGUAUAAUCAAGUUCAAUAAGCAAAAAAUCAACAAUUUCAAUCAUAGAAGCAGCUGCUGCAUUGAGAAUACAAACAACUAAACUGCAAGAUAAAUGAUUAUUGACAAUGAAUAUGUGAAUACUGACAGAAGUGAGAUGAUCAAUGAUGUGAAUGCUAGUGAAUUCUGAUGUGAAUGUGAACUUUGUAUCUCACAUCUGAGCAUCAAAAUAUUUCUUGAAGACAGAAGAUAAAUCAAAAGUAGUGAAAGCAGUUGAUAAUUAUAAGAUUAAAUUAUAUAAACAACAAAGAGCUGCAAUGAAGAUUAUCAAUGAUAAACAUAUUCUCUGAGAAGAAUUCCAUCAUUUUGAAGAGGCUGAUAUUAGCAGAUAUAAUAUAAUUUUGAGCAUGCUGUGAUUGAAAGCUGUGAACUCUGAUAUCAACUGAAUGUGAAGAUGCUGAAUCUAUAGAAAAGUAUUGAAUAUUAAUCAUAUACAUCUAGAUACUAUAACUAUUGCACGUUGAACUCCGCUGGGGUUCACCUGUUUUGCUAACAAAUUAAGUUCACACUAACCAGAAAUAGCUUAGCUCCCUUAGGGUUACUUGGAGUAAACCUCCGCUGACCUUCAAAGUUAGUGUUUUGGCAUUUGCUUGGGUGGAUUUUUAACAUUUCAUCAAAUUACUCCAUCAAUACUGGGUCAAAUCAACUCAGAUUUUGAUCAGAGAUAGAUCUAUUUUAUGUUGAUAAUCUAUUAAAAUUUUGUUUAAUUUGAUCCACAGUUGCUUGAGUUAUUCUUGAUUCUCUGUUUGAAAAAACUCUGAUCAAUUUUCGUGUUCCAACACACCCGUGCCAAGUCCCCCCUGAGUACCUCCCAGCCACACGUGCCUGCCAAGUAACAAAAAGAUACCUCAGCACAAUUAGCUAGUGCAUACUCUGCUAAGCUAUCCCUCACUGCUAAGCUAUCCCUCACUGCUAAGCUAUCCCUCGCUGCUACGCUAUCCCUCACUGCUAAGCUAUCCCUUGCUGCUACGCUAUCCCUCACUGCUAAGCUAUCCCUCACUGCUAAGCUAUCCCUCGCUGCUAAGCUAUUCCUUGCUGCUAAGCUAUCCCUCGCUGCUAAGCUAUCCAUCGCUGCUAAGCUAUCGCUCGCUGCUAAGCUAUCCCUCGCUGCUAAGCUAUCCCUUGCUGCUAAGCUAUCCCUCACUGCUAAGCUAUCCCUCGCUGCUAAGCUAUUCCUUGCUGCUAAGCUAUCCCUCGCUGCUAAGCUAUCCAUCGCUGCUAAGCUAUCGCUCGCUGCUAAGCUAUCCCUCGCUGCUAAGCUAUCCCUCACUGCUAAGCUAUCCCUUGCUGCUAAGCUAUCCCUUGCUGCCAAUUUAUCUACCACUGCUAAGCUAUCUCUCACUGCUAAGCUAUCCCUUGCUGCUAAGCUAUUCCUUGCUGCUAAGCUAUCCCUUGCUGCUAAGCUAUCUCUUGCUGUCAAUUUAUCUACCACUGCUAAUCUAUCUCUCACUGCUAAGCUAUCCCUUGCUGCCAAUCUAUUGCUGCUAAUCUAUCACUGCUAAUCUAUCACUGCUAAUCUAUCACUGCUAAUCUAUUGCUGCUGUCAAUCUAUCACUGCUAAUCUAUCACUGUCAAUCAAUCUACUGCAGUGAAUCUAUCUAUCACUAUCAUUACUAGUUCAAAAUAGAACUAGAGUAUAAAUACAUUAAACUUCUUUUAAUAGAUAAUGAUUUUUAAUAAG
Molecule: small RNA, 3800 nt
Filed under: Histoplasma ohiense
Lineage: Eukaryota; Fungi; Ascomycota; Eurotiomycetes; Onygenales; Ajellomycetaceae
Description: hypothetical lncRNA
Source: RNAcentral